Molecule: microRNA, 24 nt
Filed under: Populus tomentosa
Lineage: Eukaryota; Viridiplantae; Streptophyta; Magnoliopsida; Malpighiales; Salicaceae
Description: Pto-N16
Source: RNAcentral
UGAUUUGAUUGCGGAGAAGAAUCA